RNAcentral lists this ribosomal RNA (253 nucleotides) under uncultured bacterium. RNAcentral describes it as "partial 16S ribosomal RNA". It matches the Rfam family "Bacterial small subunit ribosomal RNA", at positions 524 to 776 of the family's 1533-position model. The record is from RNAcentral.
UACGUAGGGGGCAAGCGUUGUCCGGAUUUAUUGGGCGUAAAGAGCGUGUAGGCGGUCAGGUAGGUCCGUUGUGAAAACUCGAGGCUCAACCUCGAGACGCCGAUGGAAACCAUCUGACUAGAGUCCGGAAGAGGAGAAUGGAAUUCCCGGUGUAGCGGUGAAAUGCGCAGAUAUCGGGAAGAACACCCGUGGCGAAGGCGGUUCUCUGGGACGGUACUGACGCUGAGACGCGAAAGCGUGGGGAGCGAACAGG